Sardina pilchardus (European sardine) is the source of this 444-nucleotide non-coding RNA. NCBI's taxonomy places the organism in Eukaryota, Metazoa, Chordata, Actinopteri, Clupeiformes, Clupeidae. The record is from the annotation of a RefSeq genome assembly.
UGUACUAUGAGAUCAUCACCUUCAACUCAAACCAUGUCUCUGUUAUCUGUGGUACUGCUGCUGGCUGCCACAUCCAAUGUUCAUUCAGUUGACCUCACUCAACCAGCUUCACUGACCGUCCAGCCGGGUCAAAGCUUCACCAUCAACUGUAAAGUCUCCUAUUCAGUUCGUGACUCUAGCUAUGGCACAGCUUGGAUUCGACAGCCAUCAGGGAAAGCUCUGGAGUGGAUCAACGUUAUCUGGUAUGAUGGUGGCACAAACCAUAAAGACUCCCUGAAGAACAAGUUCAGCGUCUCCAGAGACACCUCCAGUAACACAAUCACCCUGCAAGGGCAAAACAUGCAGCCUGGAGACACAGCUGUGUAUUACUGUGCUCGCUACCCACAGUCACACAUGAGACUGCAGAGCUGCACAAAAACAUCUCUGGCAGUUCUGACUGACUGA